This 128-nucleotide ribosomal RNA is filed under the name uncultured Synechococcus sp. RNAcentral's name for it is "partial 23S ribosomal RNA". It matches the Rfam family "Bacterial large subunit ribosomal RNA", at positions 1 to 128 of the family's 2925-position model. Lineage: Bacteria; Bacillati; Cyanobacteriota; Cyanophyceae; Synechococcales; Synechococcaceae. The record is from RNAcentral.
GGUCAAGCUACAAAGGGCUCACGGCGGAUACCUUGGCACACAGAGGCGAUGAAGGACGUGGUUACCUGCGAUAAGUCUCGGGGAGCUGGAAGCACGCUUUGAUCCGGGAAUUUCCGAAUGGGGCAACC